This 484-nucleotide ribosomal RNA is filed under the name uncultured bacterium. RNAcentral's name for it is "partial 16S ribosomal RNA". It matches the Rfam family "Bacterial small subunit ribosomal RNA", at positions 29 to 507 of the family's 1533-position model. The record is from RNAcentral.
AUUGAACGCUGGCGGCAUGCUUUACACAUGCAAGUCGAACGGCAGCGCGGGCUUCGGCCUGGCGGCGAGUGGCGAACGGGUGAGUAAUACAUCGGAACGUGCCCAGUAGUGGGGGAUAGCUCGGCGAAAGCCGGAUUAAUACCGCAUACGACCUGAGGGUGAAAGCGGGGGAUCUUCGGACCUCGCGCUAUUGGAGCGGCCGAUGGCAGAUUAGCUUGUUGGUGGGGUAAAGGCCUACCAAGGCGACGAUCUGUAGCAGGUCUGAGAGGACGACCAGCCACACUGGGACUGAGACACGGCCCAGACUCCUACGGGAGGCAGCAGUGGGGAAUUUUGGACAAUGGGCGAAAGCCUGAUCCAGCAAUGCCGCGUGUGUGAUGAAGGCCUUCGGGUUGUAAAGCACUUUUGGCGGGAACGAAAAGGACUGUGCCAAUACCACGGUUCGAUGACGGUACCCGCAGAAUAAGCACCGGCUAACUACGUG